AGCAAAAACAGUACCAUUACCAACUAAAGCAGGAAAUGAUUCCCCAUCAGCAAGCAGAGCGUUAGAAGCAGAAACCAAAAUCUCAUCAUGUUGAAACCCAACAAAAACCCUCCAUAACUUAAGUUCCUCAAGUCCGUUGUUAGUUAUACUGAGAAUAGACUGAAACUUGUAGGGUUGACGAGUUUUCAAAGUGGGUUUGAUUUUAGAUCCGGAAUUAAACACAUACUGCAAGAAUAUACCGUUACAGUCGUCGGCUGCCGGUGCCGGAGCUUCAGCCAUCGGAGUUGUUUGUCCGGCGACGGUGAUGAUUAGGAGAAAGAGAGAGAAAAAUGUUGUGGUGAGUGCCAUGUUGUUU
Molecule: unclassified non-coding RNA, 355 nt
Filed under: Hevea brasiliensis (rubber tree)
Lineage: Eukaryota; Viridiplantae; Streptophyta; Magnoliopsida; Malpighiales; Euphorbiaceae
Source: RNAcentral